CUUAGUGGCGGACGGGUGAGUAACGCGUGAGGAACCUGCCUUUCAGUGGGGGACAACAGUUGGAAACGACUGCUAAUACCGCAUAAUGUACUUUGGGGGCAUCCCCGAGGUACCAAAGAUUUAUUGCUGAAAGAUGGCCUCGCGUCUGAUUAGAUAGUUGGUGGGGUAACGGCCCACCAAGUCGACGAUCAGUAGCCGGACUGAGAGGUUGAACGGCCACAUUGGGACUGAGAUACGGCCCAGACUCC
Molecule: ribosomal RNA, 248 nt
Filed under: uncultured Oscillospiraceae bacterium
Lineage: Bacteria; Bacillati; Bacillota; Clostridia; Eubacteriales; Oscillospiraceae
Description: partial 16S ribosomal RNA
Rfam family: Bacterial small subunit ribosomal RNA
Source: RNAcentral